Molecule: ribosomal RNA, 395 nt
Filed under: uncultured bacterium
Lineage: Bacteria
Description: partial 16S ribosomal RNA
Rfam family: Bacterial small subunit ribosomal RNA
Source: RNAcentral
AUACGUAGGGUGCAAGCGUUAAUCGGAAUUACUGGGCGUAAAGCGUGCGCAGGCGGUUUUGUAAGACAGUGGUGAAAUCCCCGGGCUCAACCUGGGAACUGCCAUUGUGACUGCAAAGCUGGAGUGCGGCAGAGGGGGAUGGAAUUCCGCGUGUAGCAGUGAAAUGCGUAGAUAUGCGGAGGAACACCGAUGGCGAAGGCAAUCCCCUGGGCCUGCACUGACGCUCAUGCACGAAAGCGUGGGGAGCAAACAGGAUUAGAUACCCUGGUAGUCCACGCCCUAAACGAUGUCAACUGGUUGUUGGGGAUUUAGUUUCUCAGUAACGAAGCUAACGCGUGAAGUUGACCGCCUGGGGAGUACGGCCGCAAGGUUAAAACUCAAAGGAAUUGACGGGG